UUUCAAGGUUACCAGUCAUUAGACAUUGACGAAACCGGCGAAUAAUUUUCCUACACGUUCUUUCCAUUCUUGUAUCUUAACUGUCAAUAUUGAAAAACUAAGGUGCGUAGAAUUUGGUAGACAAUUUUAUGAACGAUUCCCUAAACUCCAGCAAAAGAAGGUUGUUGUUUCAGUUGACGUUUACCCCUUAUAAAAGUUCGGUAUUUUUAAAAGUUUACGUUUAACGGUUAAAUAUUAUGUCAAUUAUGAGUUAUAAGCAUCGAUCGUAUUGGACAUCUCCUUUUUCAUUUGAAAUGGUAUUAUACGGUUUUAUAAGUACAUCAUAGCUAUGAACCAAAGACAUACAUGUAGAUCAUAGACAUGUGAUCAGUCACUGUCAUGUAAAAUUGACAAAAUUUUUUUUUGUCGAAAAGUUACCGGCCGUGUUCACUCGAGAUGAUGUAUUUCAAGUAGCUAAAUCGAAAACUUAAAAAAAAACAACUGUCCUACCAUUCAUUGUGUUUUCACUGUAAAACAGGUUGGGAACGUUUAACAAACCCCCUGUAUUGUGAUUAUACCUGUAUAAAGGGAUAAUCCUUCUUUAGAGGGAUAAAAUUAUUGCACUGGACUUAAAGCAAAUUAGGGCAGAAUGGCAUUUUCUAGUUAUAUUGGCUAUAAUCUCUAGCAUUGUAUGCAUCAACAUAUGCACUUUACUAAAAAUUGGGAUAACCAGUAUUCUGCUAAAGUUACAAAACUUGCAAUCUAUUGUAUACCUAUCUGAACACCUGAUCAACAACAAAAGGAAUAGUUGACCUUUAAAUUUCAUGUUAAAUCUAACAAUUUACAUCCCAGCUCCUUUGUUCUAACAGGGGUGAUCUGAGCCGGAUCACCCCUACCAGAUCACCCCAGUUUGAGUGUCUUUGUUAUGCAUGCUUUCCUUUGUUCUGAAACAUUUUGGCGGGAAGGACACAUCCACUGUAAAACUUAUGAUUAAUUAUACAGAAAAGACUAUGUAUCAAAAUUCACGUAGAAAAAAUCCAGUGUAUAUGCUUGGAUUCGAACUCAAGACCUUUAGCAUAUCAAGCCACGACACAUACCACUACACCAGGAAGACUGGAUAUAAACGAACAGUAAUUAAACAUACUUAACGGAAGCAAGAUCUUUUGAUAAAUGGGUCGAGUUGGCAGACCUUUAUUCAAUGGGGUUUAAACCUUUUUCAUUAAUAAGUGAGAUAUCAGACUGAUUGUUCAAUUUGAUUUUACACUUUUUUAAAAGUAGGGAGAGUCGGUAAACAAGAGUGUGACGAUUUUUUUAUAUAGUGGCGAUAUAGUGUGGGCCGAUUGGCAAGUGGGGCGAGUUGACAUUGUUUUAUAACUACUCAUCGUGUUCGGGGGUCACAAAGGGUAUUCAUCAUAUAGUAAUAUCUAAAGUAUAUUAUAAUGGUUGUGUGGCGUUCUAACUAAACUAGAUUUUAUGAAUUGUAAAUGGUUUUUCAUCUAAUCUAAAACAGCUGGGAUGUAAAAUAGUUAUCCCACUUGGACUUAGUGUGUCAGUGUUAGAUCACCCUCUGGCCUCCGGCCAUUGGGGUGAUCUUACACUGACACACCGCGUCAUCGUGGGAUAACUAUUAAAGAAAUUCUGUUCAGUGAGGCAUAAGUGAGUAGAAUUUACCUGAUCAUCACAGCUUUCAAUCAUGGUGAACAAUAGAUUUUAUAUUUUAAUAGUCAGAUAAGCAUCAAACUGGGCAUGUGCAUAUUAAAUUAAGUACACCAAUUGGUGCAUCAACUGUUCCAGGUUACUGCCAUAAUAAGUAGAGAAUGCCAUUCUGCCCUAUUGUGUUUUAAAUCCAGUCUAAACAACAAUACCCCUCUUUAGAGGAGAUAAUUUUACCCCUCUAUAGAAGGAUUAUCCCUCUAUACAGGUAUAAUCACCAUAUAGAGGGUUUGUUCCCAACCUGUAAAAUGGAUAUUAAACCUGACCUUCACAUAAUCCAAAAUUAUUUUCAAUGGUGGAAUCUGAUAUUGUAAGUGUUGCUGUGGAGUUUCACAUAGCGUUUUCUAGGGUUACUCAGAUCUUUUCAUCAAUUUUAUUGUUUCCAUACUAAAAAGCGUGGGAAACUGUAUCACAUCAAUGACAAGGAUAUUACCAUAGAGUAUCAAAUGUUGAAAUAAAGGAUCCAACAUCGUAGAAACCAUUAUGGUGCACUUACAAUGAAAAACAAUCUUGGAAAAUGUGAAGGUACAUUGCACUAGGCAGACUGUUAAUCAGGGCCAAUGGAGCCUGAUUCUUUUGACAUAUUUGCAUCCAGCAUAAAAAAUCGCCUUAAAAGUCACAUACAUUUUCCUGAGACUUGUUUCAUAUGCUGUAGUUUGCAUAAGCAUAGGUUAAAUAAUUUUUAAAAAGUUGCUGAUACAUGGAAAUUUACUUAAUUUUUACCGUUCAUGCUUUCAUUCUUGGUUUUUUGUUCUAUUUUAAGAGGAACUAAUAGACUUGAUACAUGUUCCUUAGAUUUUUAAUUUUAAUGUUUCUUUUUUUUUUCAAUUUCACUUCUUUAACCCUUUCAACGCUAUACACAGCAUAUGCCGUCCUGCCACUGCUAUUUGCGCAUAUACCGCGAUGACAACAGAUUUUUCAUCAGGACUCUCCAAACAUUCGGUUUUCAUUCGGGUCCUCUCUAAUAUUUCCUUGUAUGAAUCAAGGAUAUACAAGGUCUCAUUUGCGCUUGAAAUCCGGCAAUUUUUAUUGUAAAAUCAUGCUGUAGAAGAAAAAUUGAAGGAAAAUAAAAACAAAUAUUUUGACAAAUUCAAAUGGCGGAAAUCGGAAACGAAGCUGCAAAUAUGGAAAUAUUUCAGCAUUUCUAUGGCGAAACUGACAACGAGGAUUAGUUAAAAGGUUUCUUAUUAUCUCAAUGUGUUUAUUACAUUUAAUUUGUGUGGGAAAUAUGAUUUGAUCGAUCAUUACAAGAUGUAGAAAAAGGGGGGAAAACGGAGGUUGACUGAAAAUUUUGAAGAAGGAGCCACUGAUUUGUGCCACGAUUACAUAAUACGUUGUGUAUUGUGCAAUACGCUACAGAAUCGAGCAAUUGGUGUCUUCUUUAUUAUAUGGCAGAUAAAACAACAAAAUAGAUGAAGACUAAAAGUAGUUUUUAUUAAAAAUUCAACACAAAUGUUAUAAAUUACACCUUUUACCUGUUAAUAACCUGAAAAUGCAGGUAACCUGAUAAAAAAUAUACUGAAAUAACUGCCUAACAUUACAGUUCAUACUCUCCUUAGCAUUUUUCAUGCAAUAACUUUCUCUGCAUCUCUUAUAAUAAAAAAGAUACAGCAGUCUGAAAAGGCAUAUACUGUUCUAAUGAAUGAACACAAAAACAAUGCAGCAGCAGCAGCCAUUUUUCUAUUUUUUUGUGUAGCGUUGAAAGGGUUAACAAUUUUAUUGCCAUAACUAAGAGCCUCCCUUUAUAUUGACUCAGACUUCAUUUUAACUGAGUCUUUCUAUGUUUAUUGCUAUGAAUUUCUCUAUUUUACAUUGGCUAUUGGUAUAGGGGAGGGUUGAGACAGACUACACGAAAUUCGUUGGACAGUCAGACAAAUCCUGUGAAUAAUGGAUCAGUCUGUCAAAAUUUUGUUGAAUUCCGGUCCGAAUGUCCGGUGUUGGGGUUUUUUCAUGGAUUUUUCUAACAUUCCAGCAAAAUUCCCAAAGAUCUCAAAAUUUAUUUUCUUCUUUAUUUUUCAUGACUGAUGUUUAUUUUUUUCAACCGCUAGCUUUAUGACGAAAAUGGCUUACAAGUAAUUGUGUAAAUCUGGGGGAAAAACAUAUCUGACUGACUUAAACAACAAUGGCUGCCAUCAUUGUCACAACUGGAAAUGUAGACAAUACCUGAUCAGAUUCCAGGAACAGAUAAGGCUUAUUCCCGGAUUUGCUGAUCAAAUACAAUAAAUAAAUAUUUAAAAAAAAACAAGCAGGUCACAAAAUUCAGCUAUGAAAUGUAAGCACUAGAAUUAAAGACCAAAAGAAACAAGAAAUAAUAUUCUCUACAGGAACUUUAAAUUAUGUUAAGAUAUGUCAAAUACAAUAAAAUGUGACAUUAAUACUUUUCUUUAUCACUGAAAUGCAUUCAAGCAAUUGUGCACAACUUUCAUAACAAUAUACCCUCUUGUCACAUUAUUUUGUUUUUGUGCAUAUUCAAAGAGGAGUAGGGAACAAUAAGUCAUAAGUUUGUUGUAUUUCGUUGGAUAGUAUACAUGUACAGUUAGAUGUAAAAAAAAAAAAUUGGUCUGGUAAAAUUUUAUUCAAUCUGGUAAAGCUAGGUUGUUUACCAGACCGAAUGUCCUGUAAAAAUAAAAUUCAUUUGUGUAGUCUGUUGAGAUCUCACUAAAUAUGGUUAACCCUGCCACAUUUUUGCACCUGUCUCAAGUCAGGAGCCUCUGGCUUUUUUAAUUUUUAAUGUUUUGGAGUUUAGUAUGACGUCCAUUUUCACCAUGUUACAUUUAAACUGUUUUGUCUUUAAUAUUACAAAUUAAUUUUAAAGUUUGGUUCAAGUAAUACGGGAAUCUUUCGACAUUUGAGAUAUCAAAUAACAGCAAAAUUCAAAGUUUGGUCUUGAUUUGAAAUGAAAUAAGCAAAUUUUAAUAUACAAUUUUAUUUAGUGGCCAGCUGAGGACCACCUCUGGGUGUGGGAUUUUCUCUCUGCGUUGAAGACCUAUUGGUGGCCUUCGUCUAUUAUCUGCUCAUUGGUCGGGUUGUUGACUCUUUUAAAUAUUCCCCAUUUCAAUUCUCAAUUUUACAUGCAGAUGGCAAUCAGUAUUCUGACAGUUUACAGUAAACAUGUAAAUUAGUAAGAAAGAUAUAAAAGAUAAGGAAUUAUAGCAAGUCUUUAGGAAACAAGAGUCUGCCAUUAUUCUGGUUCAGAUUUUGAUACUCUCUGUCUCAAUCAAUUAAAGUCAUAUUCUGCCUCAAUGUUAAUUUCUUACUGUCUGUCUGAUUUAUCAUAUAUAUCCUAAAAAUGUCCGAUGUAAAUUUUUCAAACAGUUUGUUUGGCAAUGAAUAUCCCUGAUUGCUGUUACUAAUAAUUGCAGUACAUGUACUUCUAAGCUUGUAAUUAAAGUCAAACCAAUGCAAAUCUGAUUUCUUCUUCAUAUGUUCUUCAUUUCUAGUUUUCCAAACACACAACUGGCAUGCCUUGAACAUUAAUUGGUCUAAUAAUAUUACAUGACUGUUAUACAAUAUAUUUAUAAGAAAUAUUGUAUUAAUAUUCCAAAUACAUUAAACGUUUAAUUUUAUCUUAGGAUGCAUAACUAUUUCCCCUGUCUCUCUCUUAUUGUAAAAUAUUGAUAACUGUUGUUAUGUUAUAUUAAUAUGUUGAUUUUAGCUUUUAAUCUAAAUUUCCAUCUAAAGAUAUCUUUUAAACAAAAAUAUAACCAAUUAAAAUUCUGGAUUUGGUGUUUCAAGCACAAAUUUAAUAAUCCAAGUACUUAUUAAUCAGUCCCAUACCAACAAAGUGGGUUUGCACUGUCUGUCUGUCUGUCUGUCUGUCUGUCUGUCUGUCUGUCUGUCUGUCUGUCUGUCUGUCUGUCUGUCUGUCUGUCUGUCUGUCUGUCUGUCUGUCUGUCUGUCUGUCUGUCUGUCUGUCUGUCUGUCUGUCUGUCUGUCUGUCUGUCUGUCUGUCUGUCUGUCUGUCUGUCUGUCUGUCUGUCUGUCUGUCUGUCUGUCUGUCUGUCUGUCUGUCUGUCUGUCUGUCUGUCUGUCUGUCUGUCUGUCUGUCUGUCUGUCUGUCUGUCUGUCUGUCUGUCUGUCUGUCUGUCUGUCUGUCUGUCUGUCUGUCUGUGUAUUAUUUAAGAAGUACUGGCCUGAUUGACCCCUGUUACUAAUUAUAAGAUGAAAGAAAUGGUUUAAUAACUAUUAACAUACAUGUAUGUAGUGAUUUUGAUAAAUAUUACUUUAAUCAAGAUGUACAUUUGAAGAAGAUGUCUUGAUAUCCAUGAUAUCAUGGUUAUAAAUUCUGAGCCAUUGGUCUCAUUGCUGAAGACCUGUCAAGGCUAUAAACUUGAUCUGACUGUUAUAAAUUCUGAGCCUUUGGUCUCAUUGCUGAAGACCUGUCGAGGCUAAAAACUUGAUCUGAAUGUUAUAAAUUCUGAGCCAUUGGUCUUAUUGGAGAAGACCGGUUAAGGCCAACUUGAUCUGACUGUUAUGAAUUCUAAGCCAUUGAUCUCAUAGCUGAAGACCUGUCAAGGCUAACUUGAUCUGACUGUUAUAGAAUAUGAGCUAUUUGUCUCAUUGAUGAAUAAUAGUAAUUCUGCUUACUGGCAAUCUGAACAUUAACACCAUAUUUUGUUAAUUUGUGGUAAGUAGAGAACUCAUGCCAAAAGAGUCAAACAAAUAGUAAGAAUCCACCCAUAAGCUCUCCUUCCUUUGAAACCCUAUUACCGCCUUGAUUUUAUACAUAGUGUUAUGUCACCGGAACAAUUAAUAUCACUGUAUUGAGAGGAGUAUAGAGUUUAAUUUAAAAAAUCUAUAAACUUUAUUUAUACUUUUGAAAGGUGUUCAUGUUUAAUAUUAAAAUGUACCAUGUCUAAAAACAAUAUAAUUUAUAAAAUCAUAGAUGUCAUCUAGUAACAAAGUUAUGUCCCUACCCCAACACCUUAAAUGUUUUUAGAAAACUCUGCAUAUCUUUUUUUUAUCGAAUCAAACAAAGCAAAUUAUUAAGAAAUGAAUGUAUUAUAUCUGAGGAUAAUAGCAGUAUGAAUUAUUUACACAACUCGUCAGUAAUGCAUAAAGUAAUAUACUGCCUAAUUGGUCCUUGACCAGUAUAAAGGGGAAAUUGUAUUGAUAAGUUAUACUUAAUUUACCUUUAAGUAUAAAUGUUUUUAGCUUUUUGCUGUGGUGUAUUUGUGGUCGGCUUCAUGGUUCACUUGUCUGGGUCCAAAGUUCACAUGCAUGCUAACUUCCUGUCUAUCCUAUCUAUAAGUACAUUGUACCUUUGUUAUUGAUUUGUAGGUAGAGAAUUAGGGGUAUCUAUUAAUUAGGUUAGAUAAAACCUUUCAAUUUAUCAGUACUUACCAAUAAACAACCAGAAGGCCAUUUAAGGCCAAAUUUAUAGAUUUAUUGUCUGGUUAAUGAUAUGAUAAAAUCUUUGACUGUUUUAAAGGUUAUAUAUGCAUCAAACUAUCCCAGAUUCUAACAUACAUGUACAUGACAUAUAAUCAUUUGCUGUAAUUAGUUGGACACAUUUAGAUGGUAUUACAGCAAUAUUUCUGUCUACAUGAUGUAAUUUUGUUGCUCAUAAUUUCUAGACAAUUAUUGUAAACAAUUUUCACUAGAACUUUUGAAAGUCUCCUUAUAUUAAAGGGGAUAGCAUGAUGUUUACUGUUUCUAUCUCUCUUUUUGUGUGAAAGUCUAUAUAUUUGUUAGUUAUAUAAGUUCUGUCAAUUAAUGAUAACCUAUUUCUGAUGGUAGAUAAAACAUUAACAAAGUCCAUUCAUACACUUGUAUAUAUUGGGUCAGGUGAUACUAUUGGGGAUGAAAGUCUUGUUGAUUUUGACCCUAUUUCGAUGGUAGGUGACAAUGCCAUAUAUAAAUAUUCAAUUCUAUUAUUGGACACAUUUGAUUAAAAAUCAUAAAGGAUCUGAAUCUCAGUGACAACAUGUCUCUGUAUAUUGAUCUGUCCUUUUUUAUAACAUUCACCAACCAGCUAAUUUCAUAGAGAGUAGAAUGCCUUUUACUGGUAAUACUGGAGCGAAAUUUGGUCUGUUCUGAUUUGAAAUAAAUUACUAAAUUAUUACUAAUAAUUUAAAGUGGUAGCAACUAGUUAUGAAAGGAUUAUUAUCUAAAAAAAAAAUGUAUUUCUAUUUGCAUUUUGAUGCAAAAAAAAUCAUGAAUAAAUUAAUCAGAAUUUGUUUUCAAAAUGUCAUGAACAUUUUAUUGAUACAGGUUAUUAAAUUCAGGUCUGGUGGAUAAGACAUUUAUGAUUCACCUGUUAUGCCCCUAUAAUACUUUUUUAGGUGUAAUGCCACCAUUGGUUUUCCCCUAUUAGUCUUUGUUGAAUUUUCACUUUAAAAAAAACUUGGCAUAAGUACUAUUUUAUCCUGUCAAUACUACAGACAAAACUUCACAUAACAUUUCAUUGCACAGGCAGCCAACUUAUCAAAUUUUCACCCCUUUCUUUCCGAUUUAUAAGCUUUAGUAACCAUGUAACACCAUGAACUUUCAAAAAUAUUUUAAAGAAAUACCAAAUAAAAAAAAAAAGAAUGGUGCUUUGAAACACCCAAGAUAUAUAUUUGUUUAUGACUCAGAAAUGUUUUACUGCAAUGAAAUCUAGUACGUAUUAAUUUCUUCUACUGUCAAAUUUAAGGGAACAAAUUUCUACCCUUUUUCUGUAUGCAACGGGAUGUGAUGUACUAUAAUUUGGUAGUAUAUAACACCUUUUGCUGUAGCAUAAAGGCAAACAUAUUUAAAUGUUAACUUUGGACUGAGUUCUCUGUUAUCACUAGGUAAUUUAAUUUUAGUUCUGUAUUUAUCAAACCAUUAAUUCUUGUUUCUACAGUUUGAUAAAUGUUUUUAGACUGGUUGCUUAUUGUUGUAUACUGUGAGGUUAAGGUUACGUGUAGUACAUUUAUAUAUGGAAGAGGUUUCACCUUAUACAGGUGGCUGUUUGUUUUAGUUAUCUUUACAUUGUAUGGUGUGAAGUGAAAGAAAACAUGAAUCAUUUUAAGUUCAAGAUCAAGGUCAUAAAAUGGUAUGACUGUAGUAUUAGUAACCUUGAGUAUCAUUGGCCUUGCAUGUACAUGCGACCUUUAUAAAGCUUCAGCGUACUUUUGAUUGUAACAUAUUGAUCAUAUACACGUAACAACAUAGGGAUGUUAAUAAUUUUCUAAAGAAAUUUGGCAAUGGUUUGUAUAGUUUAAGCAUAUAGGGAAAAUUUUAAGUCUUUUAAUAAUUAUUUUUAUAAGUUAAGAGAUUUUUAUUGGUUUACAUUCAAUAAUGAAUUUUUGUAAAAAAAGAAAACUGCAGUCAGCUGAUAUUUUCUUCCUUCUAAUGUCCAUUUAAACAUUAGCUAUAUGUAUACGUAUCUAUUAAACUACCUACUAUUAAAAUUUAAAAAGGUAUAAACAUGUAAAUACCACCAAUUUAGGAUUAUAAGAUUUAAACUUAACAAGGAGACAAAUCUAUGGUAAUAAGAUUUAUACAAAUGUAUAUACAUGUACAUGUAGAUGAGUAUUUAUUUACCAGGUAAUCAAUUUAUAAAUAAUAUAUACUUUAAAUCUGUUAAAUGUUUUAAAGUUUUUAAUUACUUUACAUAAAUAUUUACAUAGAUAAUCCAGGAUUAUUGGAAUACAGUAAAUUUAUAGUUUGACAAUUUUCUUACAACAUGACAUGAUGUAGUAAUAAGAUUAAGUACAACUUUACAUCUAAAUAACUGGAACAAGGAUAUUACCUUGACAUUUGUCCUUUUUUAUUUCAGAAGAUAACUGGACGGGACAUGGACUAUUUGAAAUUAGCUGGAGCAGGGGCCAUAACUCUAAGUGCUGUUUCCACAGCAACAUAUUUAUAUCUGACACAGAAUCCAAAUCCUGUUCCUUCAGCUGUAGACCUGAACAACCAAACCAUAAUAAUCAAGGUACGAAUAAAAUUCUUCUGAAUAUCAGGUGGCUACCAAAUGUCAGUCUUCCAUAACUUCAUAUUUUCCUCUGAUGAUAUUGGCCAAAUAUAUUAGCUUUAUUGAUGCUCAUAUCCAAAUUUA
Molecule: long non-coding RNA, 9715 nt
Filed under: Mytilus galloprovincialis (Mediterranean mussel)
Lineage: Eukaryota; Metazoa; Mollusca; Bivalvia; Mytilida; Mytilidae
Source: RNAcentral